Molecule: unclassified non-coding RNA, 2966 nt
Filed under: Leishmania donovani
Lineage: Eukaryota; Euglenozoa; Kinetoplastea; Trypanosomatida; Trypanosomatidae
Description: gene:LdHU3.16.0140(CDS-product:hypothetical_prote in_conserved)
Source: RNAcentral
UUUCCCCAUUACUGUCGGUCGACAGUCCCUCGUCUCGACCUGCAUAGGCACCCGACGGCUUGUGGCGGUUUCCGCCUCUGUCUUCCUUGCUGAGGGCGCCCACUGCGAAGACACGACGGUGCUCGAGAGGCCGCCGCGCGCGUCGCACACGUGUCCGCGCCAUGCGGGCUGCUCGUACCUUUCCACGGCGGGUCUGCGGCAUUGGCUCCCUACCGAGCACUUCUGCGGCCCUCCGUUGUGGGGCACGGUGCAUUCACCGCCACCACAGCCCUGACAGAAGUUACUCGCAGGAGAUUCAGGACCGCCAAAACGCUUUUCGGUGGUCAGCACAUCAUGUGUUUCGUCCGCACCAGCACUUCACGUACGAUCCUACUAGCUGGAGCCGCACGUUGGAGGAAAAGGUGAAGAAGUCGCGCACCUUAUCGCUGGUGGAGCGGGUAAAGACGACGGCAGAGCACGUGGCGGAGCGCACUGGCCACAUGGCGGCUCUCGUCGACGUCACUGAGGGUUGCAUAUCGAAAGCACAAAAGCCUGCGGAGCCCGCCUCCCAGAUUGACGUCCCAGACUACUUCUUCGCCGCGAGGGACGCCUCGACCCCGCUGCAGGCGGCCACCGUUCCCGCGAACUCAUCCACGCCGUCGGACGGGUGGACUGCGGUGAGUCUGCAGGAACUCGUAGAGGAGGUGCAGCGCCUCCAGAGCCUUCUACAUAGCCCACGCUACGCAGGAAACGCUUCCCUCCAGCGGCGCGACCGUCAGGCCGCUGACUUCCGCGCGACACUGUGGCAGCUCUAUAAGCGCCUGCGCGAUGCCCGAGUGGGCGAGACGGUGACGCUAGAUGCUUGUGUCUUUGGUUGGUUUCUGCUGACACGGAACCUCGAGCCCCUCAUCGAGACUGUGGCGUGUGCGCGCCCGCAAGAGGCAAACAAAGACUCGAGCGAGGGCAGCGACGAGGCAGCAGCAAUACACGAUGUCUUCGCUGCCCUCCGCACGGUGGUGCUGCAGCCCAUGGCAGAGGGUAGACGUCUCUUCAAGGCUGCCACGUCGGGGGAGUUGUCGUUGGAGGCACUCAUUGAAAUCCUGAGCAUCGCGACGCUGCCGUUUGUGCGACGGUGCUCCGAGAACGAUGUCCUUGAGAGCCAGACUCUUGUGCGCUACGCUGAGUGCAUCUCCGCUGCUGCCAGGCAGCGCGCACUCGACGUCGCUGCGGAACCCGACGCGGCCGGGCACGCAGCCGCGCAGGAGUGGCUCGAUCCACCGCACCUGGCUGCGUGGGCAACCUCGCUGAAGCGCCUGCAGGCGCAUGAGGUGCCUAUUCUCGGCACGGUCUCCGGCCUCGAGGUACAGGUGGAGCACGCAGCCGAUUACGUGACGCAGCUGCUCGAGACCAUCACGGGUGUGACGCCCGGUGGCCAUGUGAUUGCGAGCCUCUCUCGCCCCCAGCCCAGAACGCAGAAGGCGGCAUCUCAGGUGCGACAGGAUGCCGCACCGAAGCCGGUUUGCCUGGAUGCAACGGCGGCACCGCACGGCGUGCAGAACCCGCCGACGGAGAGCGGUGAUGCCGUGAACAUUCUUGUGGCGGCUACGGCUAUGCUGCACCUUUCUCAUCGCACUGAAGGCACGAGCAUGACGAGGAAGGAGGGCGCGCGGCGCAUCGUUUGUGCAUGUCUGCGCAUGCUGACCCACGUGCCCAAUUAUGACCUCUGUCCCGACGAUGUGGUUGCGUGGGCGUCCGAGGUCCUUGAUGCAGGGCACCUGAUGCACAUGGACGACCUCUACUGCACCGCGCUUGGAGAUGGCGGGACGGCCGGAGGGAGCCGGUCGGCGGCGCUGCGAUUUCUUCUGCUGCUCUCGCGACUGUCCUACGGCUCUGUUGUGCACCGUGCGGCGCUGGGGCGGAUGGUACUUUGCCUGUGCCGAUGGCCGGAGCCCGCGCACACAAGUUUCAAGGAGUCAAGCGAGUGGCGCCGCCUGCGCGGCGUAGUCAUGCGAGGAGCGCUGUGCGUCCUGCAAGUGCCCGAUCUGGAGGCAGGGGCCGCGCUGCGGGCCAGCGAGGAGACAACGACGUGGCUUGAAGCGCUAGCGUUCGGCGAGUACGGCGGUGCCGUUCCGAUGACACUGUGGCGAGAUGCCGCUCUCUCGCUCUUUCCGCACCUUUGCUACCACGUUGAGGGCAGCACAGCAGCUUCUUCCCCUUCCCCGCCGCGCGUGGGCUCUUGCGCGUCGCGUUGCCGUCCAGAGGAGGCGCAGUCUCUUUGCGUCUUAUGCUCUCGCUACGUGGCACGGGAGGAGACUGGUGCCUCGGCCCCCGCCAACCUUCGCAGUAUCUUCACAGCGCGGUGCAUUGCAGAGUGUCUAGCCGUCGUGCUCAGCAACCCGGCGCUGCCAGAUGCGCUUCUGAACUCGGCGGAUGCGUGGGAUGGCCUGUGUGCCUCGUUACCCGAGCCGGUUAAGGUGGUGGCGGCGUGCAUGCAGGAGGUGGUGCGCCGUGACGCGCCCCCACCCAAGGUGCUUUCUUUCUGAACCCUUUGCUCCUCCGUGUGUUGUCCGUCCGUAAGCCGCCUCUCCUGCAUCACCCCGGAUCCCUACUCGUCUUUGUGAGCUCCUUUGGUGCGGGCUGUUCUCCCUCCCUCUGCCGCACACGCCAGCGUGCACCUGCUGUGAAGAAGGGAGAAGUGUAGAGGGCAGUCAUCACCGAUAACCCCCCCCCCCCCCCACACACACACACACACACACACACAGACACACACAUACGCACCUGCAUUUUAGGCUUCAGUGCGAUAAUCGUGGUAACCAACGCUGCGAGGUGAUUGUUCGCUUAACGUAUGUGACAGGCUCGCCCGUGUGCCUGCCUCGCUCUCGCUGUGUGCGUUCUUACUGAGGGCUCACAGGGGACAGUGGAUCAAUAUGAAGCAUAGGUUGUCGUGCCUGCUGUCGCGAGGCACACACGGCAACGUGCAUAAACAC